Molecule: long non-coding RNA, 595 nt
Organism: Scophthalmus maximus (turbot)
Lineage: Eukaryota; Metazoa; Chordata; Actinopteri; Pleuronectiformes; Scophthalmidae
Exons: 4
Source: RefSeq, a predicted model, not a curated record
GCGGGACGGUUUGGCGCCAAACAUCGCGAGAUUACCUUUUGCGCCUGUGAUGCCUUCAGGUGCACUGGGAUUUCUCUGUUUCGGAGGCGACGAGGAAGUCUGCUCUACACUAUUUGAGUGAAAUAAGGUGGACUACAAAAACAGUUCAUUUUUUUGGCGGGUGGGGUAUUUUUUGUAUUUCAAAAGGAAUGUAUUUCCUGCGCUCUGUUGUUGGGUCCUUCAUGUGCUCCCAAAGUGCGUGGACGCUGAAUGAGUGGUAGCAGGCCCGAUGAGUCAGGGGCAGUGAAUACAACACUGGAAGAACAUUCAAGAAAGAACACGCUGGGUCUACGACUACCUUUGUCCUACAGGUCACCAGGGUUAACUGAUUUGCUGAUGGGUGCAGCCAGCCUGCCAGAUCCAGGUGACCCAAAGAGGCAGCGAUGUACAGCGCCACACGCAGCUGAAACCUGGUGGCUCUGAACUGUCAAUCUCUGGCCCAGGAGGCAGCCUCGGAGGAACUCCACCCACCCAUCCCAUGUGUCCAACCGUAGAGUAGUGCCUAUGUUAAAAAAACUGUAUGGAUUUCAAAAUGAAUAAAUUCUCCUGCAUUAAC